Molecule: ribosomal RNA, 301 nt
Filed under: uncultured bacterium
Lineage: Bacteria
Description: partial 16S ribosomal RNA
Rfam family: Bacterial small subunit ribosomal RNA
Source: RNAcentral
CAGUAGCCGCGGGAAUACGUAGGGUGCAAGCGUUAAUCGGAAUUACUGGGCGUAAAGCGUGCGCAGGCGGUUUGUUAAGACAGAUGUGAAAUCCCCGGGCUUAACCUGGGAACUGCAUUUGUGACUGGCAAGCUAGAGUAUGGCAGAGGGGGGUGGAAUUCCGCGUGUAGCAGUGAAAUGCGUAGAUAUGCGGAGGAACACCGAUGGCGAAGGCAGCCCCCUGGGCCAAUACUGACGCUCAUGCACGAAAGCGUGGGGAGCAAAUGGGAUUAGAUACCCCGGUAGUCCCUGUCUCUUAUAC